UGAGGUGUUUGACGAGCAGGUGUCCACAUACUUUUGUAGACACUGGUAUAGUGCUGGAGAUAAUGAAUGAGGUUGAAAUGUGGCGGAAUUGGCCUUUAAGGUGAGGCUUUUAUUGGGAAUUAAGUGAAAGGGGAGACCUAGUCAGGUGCACAACUGAAGUGCAUUUAUCCGAAAUGUGUCUUCUGCAUUUAACCCAACCCCUCUGAAUCGGAGAGGUGCAGGGGUCUGCCUUAAUCGAUGUUCAGGUCUGAACCUUCCAUUUUAGAAUGUAAAUAUAUUUAUUUAGUUUCCUGUCAUGAAUGAUACAUGUUAUGUACAACAAUUUAGUAUAUCAGGAUUUGUCACUCAUCUACAAAAUGUUAGAGAAUUGAGAACAUUGUUUUUACUGUGUCAUGAUGCAACAGACAGUACAAUGUAACUGUUGUCUUUGAUUCAACCGGCCCCUAUAAUCUGUGCUUCAUCAUAAACACCUCUGGACUGGUCUCCCUGCCUUUUCAUAUGGCCCUAUUUAUUAUACACAAUAACCUUAUUUCUACACACACUUGUGUGUGUGUAUUCCCACUUGGGAAGAGGACACGGUGGUGGAGAGACAAGACAGAGACGGGAGAAAAACAAUGCAGUACUAAAGAAACAAAAAGGAAGCCGACAUUGUAGCAAGUUAUUCAAAAGCAGUCAGUACAACAGUUUAAUCCCUUCGGCUAGAGUUGCUGACAGUGGCUAACCCUUUAAAAUGGCCCCUGUCCUGCCUCGUGAUGUUGGAGCGCCCCCUGUCUUUAUACAUAAAGAUACCUGCUUUCAACAGGCCAGUUUCACCCGCACAAAUCCUCCCACAGGACUGAAUCCCCUUGGCUUCCCCAAACACACUUGACCACUUGUCUUCAUACGCCAGUGAGCAGGCCAAAGCCGAACAAGGUCAGUGAUAUGCUGGUCAGUGAUAGGCUGGUCAUUUAUGAACAUUUGAACAUCUUGGCCAUGUUCUGUUAUAAUCUCCACCCAGCACAGCCAGAAGAGGACUGGCCACCCCUCAUAGCCUGGUUCCUCUCUAGGUUUCUUCCUAGGUUUCGGCCUUUCUAGGGAGUUUUUCCUAGCCACCGUGCUUCUACACCUGCAUUGCUUGCUGUUUGGGGUUUUAGGAUGGGUUUAUGUACAGCACUUUGAUAUAUCAGCUGAUGUAAGAAGGGCUAUAUAAAUAAAAUGUAUAUUUGAGACAGAUUGAUGAGAAGCUUGCAUUGAUGGAAAGAUACUGGAUGGAUGUUAGUAUCAAUCAAAACCUGAAUGUUAUUGAACUCAAACUGUUAAACGUAAUGAUUUUAUCUACAAAUGUGAUUUUUGUUGUUGUUGUUGUUGUUGUUAGAGAUGGUGAUGAUCAGUUCACUGAAUUAUUCAGUGAUAUGUCUGUUAAUUGUUGUACACUUAAACUAUGUGUUUACCUUGAUGAACACAGAAGAAUGUUUAUCUAUGAUAAUUUGAGUGACCAAUGAAUAUGUGUAUUUUAUGGAGGGUAUUACAUUUUUUAAAUAUGUGCAAAUAAGACAUUGAGAAGAUGAAUAAUUUACAGUUGUUGGAAUACAGGAAUGACAAGGCAAUUUAGAGUUGAUGUAUCCCAAUUAAGCAUAGGAUCCACUGUACAUCACAUCUUCACAACAGAGGAACCUGACCCAGCCAACAAGCCUGCAGAGUACAGAGGGACCAACCAGUCACGUCAUGAUUGAAGCUGACCGAGAGCUAUCAGUCAUGGUGCAGGAAAUAUGGGAUAAAGACGUCAACAGACUGAAACCAGGGACAGACUACCGGAUCUCUCUGCAGGGGAAAGCCAGGACUGUGAAUGCUGACAUGAAUGAUGACAGUGAUGGAGCUGGAUAUCCUCUAUUCUCGUUUGUCGAUGAAAGCAUUUUCAAAAAGGAGUCUUUCUUAGCCUUUAUCUCUCUACUGGAUAACUAUGAAAGUGAUACCGGUGAGCCUGAGACUGUAACCCCAGAGGAGGAAGCAGAAAACCACACGUUUCUGGACUGCAUGCUUCGAAUGCCCACCAUGAAGGUAUCAGUUAAAACAUAUGGUGGAUAGGUCGGUAACAAGAAUACUGUAUCUUUAUUUAGUCUGAUUGCACAUUAGUACCUAGUAGAGGAACCGCUCUCCCCAGAGGUAUUACCGGAAUUCAAGGAGCAACUCUACCGUAUCUGGUUUGAGCUGUACGCCAGACGAGGAACUAGCAAGCCGGACUCCUCAGGGUUUGAGCAUGUCUUUGUCGGAGAGACCAGAGGGGGCCGCACAGUCAUCGGCUUUCAUACCUGGAUCCAG
Non-coding RNA from Salmo salar (Atlantic salmon), 2298 nucleotides. The record is from RefSeq and is a predicted model, not a curated record. NCBI's taxonomy places the organism in Eukaryota, Metazoa, Chordata, Actinopteri, Salmoniformes, Salmonidae.